UUCUGGUGUUUGCCAUUCAUGUGAACUGUGUCAUGUGGGCCUCUACUUAUUUGAAGUUACUGGUUUUCUCUGGUGCUAGAACCCAACUACCUUUUAUCUCCCCAGGGUUUCUCACAGUCUUAUAUUAGGUUCCAGGACCUACCAUCCCUGUUCCUUCUGAGACUUCACCUGGUUUGGGUUUAGAGGAGGAAAAUUGACCUAAUAAGCCAAUUCUAGAUCACCAUUAAUUUGGAAACAUUCAUUGUCCAUUGUGUGUGUGUGUGUGUGUGUGUGUGUGUGUGUGGUGUGUAAACAUUAAAUUUGAAUCUCCUUGGCUGAUCUUAUUUUUUAUUUGAGCUGUGUUUUUCACUCCAUUUCAAUUCUACUUCAAAAGGAGUCAGCUGUUUUGAGUGUUCUGAUUAUGUUCUGCAUUCUUCUGAAUCCCCUUAGAUGUGUUGUUUUCUUCUGUCUAGGUAUUGGGUCUCAGGUCCAGCUGCUGGGAUGCAAUAAACAGCAACAAUCCAAUUAUUGAGGAUAAAUAUAGGAGCCAGUUGGUUUGCCAAGUCAUCCUCCCCUCUCAAGGUAAGGAAGGGAAAAGAAAGCAGGAAACAUUGGAAAGAUACAUGGAGUCUUUCCUAUGAAGAGAGAUUUAGACCACUGAUUGACAUUCAUACCUGUGGAAGUGAAGUGUCAGUCCUGGAAGAACUGAAGGCAUUUACACACCAGGAAAUGGUUACCUCAAUUUACUGGAUCUGGAUUAAUUCCUAACCGUAAGUUCUUUCAGACAUUUUUUUUUGUUUUAUUUUUACUAUUGAAGAAAACUGAAAAGUGAAAUUCCAUUUAUAGAAUUCCACUUCAUAAUAAAUUUAGGAGAACAUGAAUGCCUU
This 866-nucleotide long non-coding RNA is filed under the name Ursus thibetanus thibetanus. RNAcentral's name for it is "lncRNA (ENSUTTG00000001597.1)". The record is from RNAcentral. Lineage: Eukaryota; Metazoa; Chordata; Mammalia; Carnivora; Ursidae.